GUGCCAGCAGCCGCGGUAAUACCAGCUCCAUUAGCGUAUAUUAACGUUGUUGCAGUUAAAAGCUCGUAGUUGGAUUUCUGACAUAACUGACCUGGCCCGGCGUCUUAAAACUGGACGUUGUGUGCCGGUGUUUUCUGAUCCCUCCGGUCUAGCCUCGGAGUCUCAGCCCUUGCGCGCCGUGGGCUGCUUACUGCGUGCCUCUCUUUUGAGGGUGCUGCGGUCGCCUGCGGUCCUGCGCUUGGGUGUUGUGGCACCUUGGCUCCAGGGGGAUUGUCAGUUGGUCAUCCUUGAGGUAAGACGCUCUGCCUUUCGUUAGGUCGGAGCGUGGCACCUCAUCGUUUACUUUGAAAAAAUUUAGAGUGUUUAAGGCAGGCUUACGCCAUGAAUAGGUUAGCAUGGAAUAAUAAGAAUAGGACUUCGGCACCGCUGGUGAUUGCCGGUUGGGCGGGCCGGCCUGUGGAUGCCUCUGCUUGCAUGCGUCUCGGGUCGUGCUCUUUAGCCUGCUGGAUCAAACAGUCGUCGGUCUCUAUUUUGUUGGUUUUCUAGAGCUUGAAGUAAUGAUUGAUAGGGGUAGUUGGGGGGUGCUAGUAUUGCGGGGCCAGAGGUGAAAUUCUCGGAUUCUCGCAAGACUAACUUAUGCGAAAGCAUUCACCAAGGAUGUCUUUCUUUUUUAAUUCAGAACGAAGGUUUGGGGGGAUUCGAGACGAUCAGAUACCGUCGUAGUCUCAACCAUAAACUAUGCCGACUAGGAUUGGGCGUCGUUGAUGAUGACUCGCUCAGCACCUUAUUUGAGGAAUCAUAAGUCUUUGGGUUCCGGGGGAGUAUGGUCGCAA
Molecule: ribosomal RNA, 833 nt
Filed under: uncultured eukaryote
Lineage: Eukaryota
Description: partial 18S ribosomal RNA
Rfam family: Eukaryotic small subunit ribosomal RNA
Source: RNAcentral